UACGAAGGGGGCUAGCGUUGUUCGGAAUUACUGGGCGUAAAGCGCACGUAGGCGGAUACUUAAGUCAGGGGUGAAAUCCCGGGGCUCAACCCCGGAACUGCCUUUGAUACUGGGUAUCUCGAGUCCGGAAGAGGUGAGUGGAAUUCCGAGUGUAGAGGUGAAAUUCGUAGAUAUUCGGAGGAGCACCAGUGGCGAAGGCGGCUCACUGGUCCGGUACUGACGCUGAGGUGCGAAAGCGUGGGGAGCAAACAGG
RNAcentral lists this ribosomal RNA (253 nucleotides) under uncultured bacterium. Its description in RNAcentral is "partial 16S ribosomal RNA". It matches the Rfam family "Bacterial small subunit ribosomal RNA", at positions 524 to 776 of the family's 1533-position model. The record is from RNAcentral.